This 490-nucleotide ribosomal RNA is filed under the name uncultured bacterium. RNAcentral's name for it is "partial 16S ribosomal RNA". It matches the Rfam family "Bacterial small subunit ribosomal RNA", at positions 30 to 507 of the family's 1533-position model. The record is from RNAcentral.
AUUGAACGCUGGCGGCAGGCCUAACACAUGCAAGUCGAACGGUAACAGGAAGAAGCUUGCUUCUUUGCUGACGAGUGGCGGACGGGUGAGUAAUGUCUGGGAAACUGCCUGAUGGAGGGGGAUAACUACUGGAAACGGUAGCUAAUACCGCAUAAUGCCGCAAGACCAAAGAGGGGGACCUUCGGGCCUCUUGCCAUCGGAUGUGCCCAGAUGGGAUUAGCUAGUAGGUGGGGUAACGGCUCACCUAGGCGACGAUCCCUAGCUGGUCUGAGAGGAUGACCAGCCACACUGGAACUGAGACACGGUCCAGACUCCUACGGGAGGCAGCAGUGGGGAAUAUUGCACAAUGGGCGCAAGCCUGAUGCAGCUAUGCCGCGUGUAUGAAGAAGGCCUUCGGGUUGUAAAGUACUUUCAGCGGGGAGGAAGGGAGUAAAGUUAAUACCUUUGCUCAUUGACGUUACCCGCAGAAGAAGCACCGGCUAACUCCGUG